Poecilia latipinna (sailfin molly) is the source of this 1274-nucleotide long non-coding RNA. RefSeq lists it as uncharacterized. NCBI's taxonomy places the organism in Eukaryota, Metazoa, Chordata, Actinopteri, Cyprinodontiformes, Poeciliidae. The record is from RefSeq and is a predicted model, not a curated record. The transcript is spliced from 2 exons.
GUUACUACACAACUUUACUGAUAUUUGCAUCUGUAGCUAUUAUUUUUACAAUUUGUGAAUAAGAAAAAUGUGCAUUAGGUUUAAGAUUUUGCAGUCAACCAAGUUGUAAUAUUAUUUUAAUUUGGAAAAUGAAUCCAAAUGAAUCAUUAACCACUCUAAAUCUGUGAACUUUGCUGCCAUGGAGAGUGAAGGUAAAGUUGUAAAAAGCCAUCUUCCCACUUCAGCAGUGACAGAGUCGGACGAAGUGUCCAGAGAUUACAGAAACUGUGGCUUCGCUGUCGGCUGGAGAGGAGGAGGCAGUUCGGUUGAUCUGGGUUUCGUCUCUCCAGAACUUGAUGAAAUGACGGUUAAAAUUAGCCAAAGAGCGCGCGUGCCUUUCCAUGAGCCGUGGUGUGAGCGGCGAGUGACAAGAGGGCGACGAACAGGUCUGAAACACCGCCUGACCCGCUGCACCUGCUGCCACUAAGGCUGUGUUCACACUGCAGCCUGAAGCGAUCCAACCCCUGUAUCUAAGAUUCAAACCCUGUUGUUCUAGUUCAUCUAAAGCUCUUAAUUCACCUGUAAUGGUUUUAAUUCCUAGAUGUUUACAUUUUAUUUCAAAGAAUGCACAAAAAGUUGAAGGAAACAAAUGAUUCGAGGUUAGUCUUUCAUUUCCACAUUGUGAAAAUGGUCUCUGUUUGAUCUCUGGUGUUAACUCCUAUAUGAAGAAAAGAAACUGAGACAACAUGUCGUCACUGGAACAUAGCAAAAGCUGGAGGAGUCUGGACAGACUGGAAGGAGAAAAGGUUUCACGAAACCUCACCGCUGUGGUCACUGUGACAAGAGUUUUUCUACCAGCUCAAUUCUGAAACAUCUGCGUGUCCACACUGGAGAGAAACCCUUCCUCUGUGACGUGUGUGGAAAGACUUUUAGCCAACUAUCAUCUCUUAAGCAACAUCAACUGAUCCACACAGGAGAGAAGCCUCAUGUCUGCAGCUACUGCAGCAAAAGUUUCAGCCAUCUCGAAAGUUCAUCAGCGAAUCCACGCAGGAGAGAAGCCGUACAGCUGUGACCGAUGUGGACGAUGCUUCCGUCGGUCAGGAACUUUGAAAAACCAUCUGAGAAUCCAUGAUGGAGAAACAGCACAACCAGAUCCAACACCAUCUCCUGUAUCGUCUUGAUGUUUCACCGACAAACAGAAAAAAAGAAAAAACCUGUUUUAAUUUAAUUAAUUUGAAUGCAACUUAUGGUGUGAAAUUUUUGUUCCGAUUUUCAGACUAAACCACAAUAUCAUC